UAUACAUGCAGUCGAGCGAACAGAUGAGAAGCUUGCUUCUCUGAUGUUAGCGGCGGACGGGUGAGUAACACGUGGGUAACCUACCUAUAAGACUGGGAUAACUCCGGGAAACCGGGGCUAAUACCGGAUAAUAUUUUGAACCGCAUGGUUCAAUAGUGAAAGACGGUUUCGGCUGUCACUUAUAGAUGGACCCGCGCCGUAUUAGCUAGUUGGUAAGGUAAUGGCUUACCAAGGCGACGAUACGUAGCCGACCUGAGAGGGUGAUCGGCCACACUGGAACUGAGACACGGUCCAGACUCCUACGGGAGGCAGCAGUAGGGAAUCUUCCGCAAUGGGCGAAAGCCUGACGGAGCAACGCCGCGUGAGUGAUGAAGGUCUUCGGAUCGUAAAACUCUGUUGUUAGGGAAGAACAAAUUUGUUAGUAACUGAACAAGUCUUGACGGUACCUAACCAGAAAGCCACGGCUAACUACGUGCCAGCAGCCGCGGUAAUACGUAGGUGGCAAGCGUUAUCCGGAAUUAUUGGGCGUAAAGCGCGCGUAGGCGGUUUCUUAAGUCUGAUGUGAAAGCCCACGGCUCAACCGUGGAGGGUCAUUGGAAACUGGGAAACUUGAGUGCAGAAGAGGAGAGUGGAAUUCCAUGUGUAGCGGUGAAAUGCGCAGAGAUAUGGAGGAACACCAGUGGCGAAGGCGGCUCUCUGGUCUGUAACUGACGCUGAUGUGCGAAAGCGUGGGGAUCAAACAGGAUUAGAUACCCUGGUAGUCCACGCCGUAAACGAUGAGUGCUAAGUGUUAGGGGGUUUCCGCCCCUUAGUGCUGCAGCUAACGCAUUAAGCACUCCGCCUGGGGAGUACGACCGCAAGGUUGAAACUCAAAGGAAUUGACGGGGACCCGCACAAGCGGUGGAGCAUGUGGUUUAAUUCGAAGCAACGCGAAGAACCUUACCAAAUCUUGACAUCCUUUGACCGCUCUAGAGAUAGAGUCUUCCCCUUCGGGGGACAAAGUGACAGGUGGUGCAUGGUUGUCGUCAGCUCGUGUCGUGAGAUGUUGGGUUAAGUCCCGCAACGAGCGCAACCCUUAAGCUUAGUUGCCAUCAUUAAGUUGGGCACUCUAGGUUGACUGCCGGUGACAAACCGGAGGAAGGUGGGGAUGACGUCAAAUCAUCAUGCCCCUUAUGAUUUGGGCUACACACGUGCUACAAUGGAUAAUACAAAGGGCAGCGAAUCCGCGAGGCCAAGCAAAUCCCAUAAAAUUAUUCUCAGUUCGGAUUGUAGUCUGCAACUCGACUACAUGAAGCUGGAAUCGCUAGUAAUCGUAGAUCAGCAUGCUACGGUGAAUACGUUCCCGGGUCUUGUACACACCGCCCGUCACACCACGAGAGUUUGUAACACCCGAAGCCGGUGGAGUAACCUUUUAGGAGCUAGCCGUCGAA
RNAcentral lists this ribosomal RNA (1430 nucleotides) under Mammaliicoccus sciuri. RNAcentral describes it as "bacterial SSU rRNA". It matches the Rfam family "Bacterial small subunit ribosomal RNA". The record is from RNAcentral. Lineage: Bacteria; Bacillati; Bacillota; Bacilli; Caryophanales; Staphylococcaceae.